CUACAGAUGGAUUUAUUGAUAAGGGCAACUCUAGGGUUCAUCAAAUGGCUAAUAGGCGAAAGGUAGAUACCCAUGACAAUAAAUUCACAAACCGGGUCAAUCCACUCUCGUGACAGAGACCCCCACAACUCUACCACUUCCUAAUCUCAACUCUCGUUGAUGAAACAUAGCAGAGCAGGGUUUAAGAAACAAUCUAUCAAAGCCAAUAGGCAGACAAGCCAAUCCCUUGGUCGAGUCUACAUAUCUCUGGAAUUCGUAGGUCAGACAUCCAUUUGAACGUCUUUUGGACGCUGGACGUCUAUGAUCGAAUCUCCACAUUAGCCAGCAAAAACC
RNAcentral lists this small RNA (333 nucleotides) under Arabidopsis thaliana (thale cress). RNAcentral describes it as "ATSL202890". Lineage: Eukaryota; Viridiplantae; Streptophyta; Magnoliopsida; Brassicales; Brassicaceae. The record is from RNAcentral.